RNAcentral lists this ribosomal RNA (445 nucleotides) under uncultured bacterium. RNAcentral describes it as "bacterial SSU rRNA". It matches the Rfam family "Bacterial small subunit ribosomal RNA", at positions 331 to 793 of the family's 1533-position model. The record is from RNAcentral.
CCAGACUCCUACGGGAGGCAGCAGUGGGGAAUAUUGCACAAUGGGGGAAACCCUGAUGCAGCGACGCCGCGUGAGCGAUGAAGUAUUUCGGUAUGUAAAGCUUUAUCAGCAGGGAAGAAAAUGACGGUACCUGACUAAGAAGCCCCGGCUAACUACGUGCCAGCAGCCGCGGUAAUACGUAGGGGGCAAGCGUUAUCCGGAUUUACUGGGUGUAAAGGGAGCGUAGACGGCGGUGCAAGCCAGAUGUGAAAGCCCGGGGCUCAACCCCGGGACUGCAUUUGGAACUGUAAGGCUAGAGUGUCGGAGAGGCAGGCGGAAUUCCUAGUGUAGCGGUGAAAUGCGUAAAUAUUAGGAGGAACACCAGUGGCGAAGGCGGCUUACUGGGCUUUAACUGACGCUGAGGCUCGAAAGCGUGGGUAGCAAACAGGAUUAGAUACCCUGGUAC